Molecule: small nuclear RNA, 107 nt
Filed under: Tursiops truncatus (common bottlenose dolphin)
Lineage: Eukaryota; Metazoa; Chordata; Mammalia; Artiodactyla; Delphinidae
Source: RNAcentral
GUGCUCGCUUCGGCAGCACAUGUACUAAAAUUGGAACGAUGCAGAGAAGAUUAGCGUGGCCCCUGCACAAGGAUGACACGCAAAUUUGUGAAGCGUUCCAUAAUUUU